This is a transfer RNA of Camelus ferus (Wild Bactrian camel), 73 nucleotides long. It matches the Rfam family "tRNA". From Rfam's summary of the family: Transfer RNA (tRNA) molecules are approximately 80 nucleotides in length. Their secondary structure includes four short double-helical elements and three loops (D, anti-codon, and T loops). Further hydrogen bonds mediate the characteristic L-shaped molecular structure. tRNAs have two regions of fundamental functional importance: the anti-codon, which is responsible for specific mRNA codon recognition, and the 3' end, to which the tRNAs corresponding amino acid is attached (by aminoacyl-tRNA synthetases). tRNAs cope with the degeneracy of the genetic code in two manners: having more than one tRNA (with a specific anti-codon) for a particular amino acid; and 'wobble' base-pairing, i.e. permitting non-standard base-pairing at the 3rd anti-codon position. NCBI's taxonomy places the organism in Eukaryota, Metazoa, Chordata, Mammalia, Artiodactyla, Camelidae. The record is from Rfam.
GAGGGUGUAGCUCAAGUGGUAGAGCACAUGCUUAGCAUAUACAAGGUCCUGGGUUCAAUCCCCAGUACCUCCU